GCUAGCCCUCUUCACCGGGGUUGAAGAUGAAGCUGUUUUAUUCUGUAAGGUUUAAGUGCAUUAAAAGUGGAAAUAAAAUUUGACUGCCAAAAAUUUUUAAAAAAUAAAGCUCUAUGGACUAAAAUGUGGAAUUCUACUGGAGAAAUGAAGUGAUUUGAUGGGUUAAGAUCAAAAGGAAACAUGAAGAAUGAUUGAGCCAGUUAUCUGGAUAUGGGCCUGAGUAGAAAUGUUCCACGACCUGUGUAAAAAUGUUCCACAAAAUGUGCAGAAGUGUGCCACGGCAUGUGGAGACCAUGUGCAAGAUAUCAAUUAUGAUAAAGGAUUUUGAAGAUGAAGAAAAUAUUUCUUUAUGAUGUGAAGUAAUGGAAUAUAUGAAGAUUUGGGAAAGAAUAUUAUUUUUUAUGGUUGGAAAUAAUAAUUAAGAUAUUGAUUACAGUAUUUGGCACAUGGCACAUUUUGAUUAGAGAAUUUUUAUAUUAUUUGACACGUGGCAUACUUUCAUUGGAUGAUGAUGUGGUAGUGGUUUCCUCUGAAAAAUAUAAAUACUGGUUGAAGCAGAUGGAAAAUAGGAGGUUGGACGGCCUAGAGCCAACAAUAGUUUUUAGAAUUUAUUUACUAUUUCUUCUUUUUAAUUCUUUUGUAAUGGAAAGCUAGCCUUCUUCACCGGGGUGAAGAUGAAGCCGUUUUAUUCUGUAAGGUAUUCUAUUAAUCUCUAAUAAAGUAUUUCUUUUGGGUUUAAAUGUUAAAUUAAUCUCUCUUCAUUAAGUUUCGUUCUUAAACCAUUUUGGAUAGUCUUCGGCUAUUGAUCUUUAAUAUGCGAAGGAGAUUAUACCGUUUUGGUACAACAAAAGUUGUAAUUAUUAUUUUAAUCAUAAUAUAUUUCGAGGCAUGAGAUUGGUUUCAAUAUUGUCUUGAGUGAUAAUAAUAAAAAAUUAUAGAGAUUAAACGGGUCUUUUACAUGAUUAA
This is a long non-coding RNA of Papaver somniferum (opium poppy), 966 nucleotides long. RefSeq lists it as uncharacterized. NCBI's taxonomy places the organism in Eukaryota, Viridiplantae, Streptophyta, Magnoliopsida, Ranunculales, Papaveraceae. The transcript has 3 exons. The record is from RefSeq and is a predicted model, not a curated record.